Molecule: long non-coding RNA, 197 nt
Organism: Cervus elaphus (red deer)
Lineage: Eukaryota; Metazoa; Chordata; Mammalia; Artiodactyla; Cervidae
Exons: 3
Source: RefSeq, a predicted model, not a curated record
UUCAGCAUUAGCCCUUCUCAUGAAUAUUCAGGACUGAUUUCCUUUAGGAUGGACUGGUUGGGUCUCCUUGCAGUCCAAGGGGCUCUCAAGAGUCUUCUCCAACACCACAGUUCAAAAGCAUCGGCUCUUCAGCGAUCAGCUUUCUUAACAGUCCAACUCUCACAUCCAUACAUGACCACUGGAAAAAAACAUAGCCU